This 491-nucleotide ribosomal RNA is filed under the name uncultured bacterium. RNAcentral describes it as "partial 16S ribosomal RNA". It matches the Rfam family "Bacterial small subunit ribosomal RNA", at positions 29 to 506 of the family's 1533-position model. The record is from RNAcentral.
AGUGAACGCUGGCGGUAGGCCUAACACAUGCAAGUCGAACGGCAGCACAGUAAGAGCUUGCUCUUACGGGUGGCGAGUGUCGGACGGGUGAGGAAUACAUCGGAAUCUACUUUUUCGUGGGGGGUAACGUAGGGAAACUUACGCUAAUACCGCAUACGACCUACGGGUGAAAGCAGGGGAUCUUCGGACCUUGCGCGAUUGAAUGAGCCGAUGUCGGAUUAGCUAGUUGGCGGGGUAGAGGCCCACCAAGGCGACGAUCCGUGGGUGGUCUGAGAGGAUGAUCAGCCACACUGGAACUGAGACACGGUCCAGACUCCUACGGGAGGCAGCAGUGGGGAAUAUUGGACAGUGGGCGCAAGCCUGAUCCAGCCAUACCGCGUGGGUGAAGAAGGCCUUCGGGUUGUAAAGCCCUUUUGUUGGGAAAGAAAAGCAGCAGGUUAAUACCCCGCUGUUCUGACGGUACCCAAAGAAUAAGCACCGGCUAACUUCGU